GACGAACGCUGGCGGCGCGCUUAACACAUGCAAGUCGAACGGAAAGGCCUGCUUUCCCUUGUGGAUUGCGGGUACUCGAGGGGCGAACGGGUGAGUAACACGUGAGUGAUCUGCCCCCAACUUGGGUAUAAGCCUGGGAAACUGGGUCUAAUUCCCGAUAGGACUGCAGGGUGGUGCCUGUGGUGGAAAACGAUUUUCUAGUGGUUGGGGAUGAGCUCGCGGCCUAUCAGCUUGUUGGUGGGGUAAUGGCCUACCAAGGCGGCGACGGGUAGCCGGCCUGAGAGGGUGGACGGGCACAUUGGGACGGAGAUACGGCCCAGACGCCUACGGGAGGCAGCAGUGGGGAAGAUUGCACAAGGGGCGGAAGCCCGAGGCAGCGACGCCGCGUGGGGGAUGACGGCCUUCGGGUUGUAAACUCCUGUCGACAGCGAGGAAGCCACCUGGUUGGAAGGGUGGUGACGGUAGUGGUAGAAGAAGCACCGGCUAACUACGUG
RNAcentral lists this ribosomal RNA (494 nucleotides) under uncultured bacterium. RNAcentral describes it as "partial 16S ribosomal RNA". It matches the Rfam family "Bacterial small subunit ribosomal RNA", at positions 28 to 507 of the family's 1533-position model. The record is from RNAcentral.